Molecule: ribosomal RNA, 253 nt
Filed under: uncultured Pelagibacterales bacterium
Lineage: Bacteria; Pseudomonadati; Pseudomonadota; Alphaproteobacteria; Candidatus Pelagibacterales
Description: partial 16S ribosomal RNA
Rfam family: Bacterial small subunit ribosomal RNA
Source: RNAcentral
UACGAAGGGACCUAGCGUAGUUCGGAAUUACUGGGCUUAAAGAGCUCGUAGGUGGUUAAAAAAGUUGAUGGUGAAAUCCCAAGGCUUAACCUUGGAACUGCCAUCAAAACUUUUUAGCUAGAGUGUGAUAGAGGUAAGUGGAAUUUCUAGUGUAGAGGUGAAAUUCGUAGAUAUUAGAAAGAACACCGAAAGCGAAGGCAACUUACUGGGUCACUACUGACACUGAGGAGCGAAAGCAUGGGUAGCGAAGAGG